Molecule: long non-coding RNA, 160 nt
Organism: Rhodamnia argentea
Lineage: Eukaryota; Viridiplantae; Streptophyta; Magnoliopsida; Myrtales; Myrtaceae
Exons: 3
Source: RefSeq, a predicted model, not a curated record
AGUUGUCUGUAAUAUUUCAAGCAGCUUCUCGCUCCUGCUUUUGAAUUUCAUCGUACAAAUUUGGUCAGGAUCUCAUGGUUAGAAUUCUGGUCUGGCUUCGCCUUCUGCUUUGUGCAAAGCUAUUAUUAGGUUUUCUUCGCUGGGAAGGGUCAAGUAGGAU